UGGAGAAGCGUGACAGCAGCGAGGGUAGAAGGAGGAGGGGAUGCGUUGACAGGAAGCAUGGGGCGUAAAGGCGGGGGAGGGGGCCCGGUAAGUCCGCUGUAAAAGUCAAAGGCGAAACCUUUGAAUGUCAGUGGAUACGGACGGGCUAGAGGCCUGAAGAGACGAGGGGAACUCCGGGUGUAGCGGGGGAAUGCGCAGAUAUCAGGAAGAACACCGACGGCGAAGGCAGCGCGCUGGGACGGUACUGUCGCUGAGACGCGAAAGCGUGGGGAGCGAACAGGAUUAGAUACCCUAGUAGUC
This 300-nucleotide ribosomal RNA is filed under the name uncultured Slackia sp. Its description in RNAcentral is "bacterial SSU rRNA". The stretch from base 52 to 300 matches the Rfam family "Bacterial small subunit ribosomal RNA", at positions 547 to 795 of the family's 1533-position model. The record is from RNAcentral. Lineage: Bacteria; Bacillati; Actinomycetota; Coriobacteriia; Eggerthellales; Eggerthellaceae.